RNAcentral lists this ribosomal RNA (497 nucleotides) under uncultured bacterium. RNAcentral describes it as "partial 16S ribosomal RNA". It matches the Rfam family "Bacterial small subunit ribosomal RNA", at positions 28 to 507 of the family's 1533-position model. The record is from RNAcentral.
GAUGAACGCUGGCGGCGUGCCUAAUACAUGCAAGUCGAGCGAACAGAUGAGGAGCUUGCUCCUCUGACGUUAGCGGCGGACGGGUGAGUAACACGUGGAUAACCUACCUAUAAGACUGGGAUAACUUCGGGAAACCGGAGCUAAUACCGGAUAAUAUAUUGAACCGCAUGGUUCAAUAGUGAAAGACGGUUUUGCUGUCACUUAUAGAUGGAUCCGCGCCGCAUUAGCUAGUUGGUAAGGUAACGGCUUACCAAGGCAACGAUGCGUAGCCGACCUGAGAGGGUGAUCAGCCACACUGGAACUGAGACACGGUCCAGACUCCUACGGGAGGCAGCAGUAGGGAAUCUUCCGCAAUGGGCGAAAGCUUGACGGAGCAACGCCGCGUGAGUGAUGAAGGUCUUCGGAUCGUAAAACUCUGUUAUUAGGGAAGAACAAAUGUGUAAGUAAAUAUGCACGUCUUGACGGUACCUAAUCAGAAAGCCACGGCUAACUACGUG